CCUACGGGUGGCAGCAGUAGGGAAUCUUCCACAAUGGACGAAAGUCUGAUGGAGCAACGCCGCGUGGGUGAAGAAGGGUUUCGGCUCGUAAAGCUCUGUUGGUAGUGAAGAAAGAGAGAGGUAGUAACUGACCUUUAUUUGACGGUAAUGACUUAGAAAGUCACGGCUAACUACGUGCCAGCAGCCGCGGUAAUUCGUAGGUGGCAAGCGUUGGCCGGAUUUAUUGGGCAUAAAGGGAGUGCAGGCGGGUAACUAAGUCUGGAGUGAAAGCCCGCGGCUCAACCGGAGAAUUGCAUCAGAAACUGUUUAACUUGAGUGCAGGAGAGGAGAGUGGAACUCCAAGUGUAGCGGUGGAAUGCGUAGAUAUAUGGAAGAACACCAGUGGCGAAGGCGGCUCUCUGGUCUGCAACUGACGCUGAGGCUCGAAAGCAUGGGUAGCGAACAGGAUUAGAUACCCGAGUAGUC
RNAcentral lists this ribosomal RNA (465 nucleotides) under uncultured bacterium. RNAcentral's name for it is "partial 16S ribosomal RNA". It matches the Rfam family "Bacterial small subunit ribosomal RNA", at positions 338 to 795 of the family's 1533-position model. The record is from RNAcentral.